Molecule: RNA transcript, 523 nt
Organism: Dipodomys ordii (Ord's kangaroo rat)
Lineage: Eukaryota; Metazoa; Chordata; Mammalia; Rodentia; Heteromyidae
Gene name: NHP2-like protein 1 pseudogene
Exons: 1
Source: RefSeq, a predicted model, not a curated record
CGUGCCCGCCGGAUCGCAGCCAUGACUGAGGCCGAUGUGAAUCCCAAGGCCUAUCCUCUUGCAGAUGCUCAUCUCACCAAGAAACUGUUAGAUCUUGUUCAGCAGUCAUGUAACUACAAGCAGCUUCGGAAAGGAGCCAAUGAGGCCACCAAAACCCUCAACAGAGGCAUCUGAGUUCAUUGUGAUGGCAGCAGAUGCCGAGCCCCUGGAGAUCAUCCUGCACCUACCCCUGCUGUGCGAAGACAAGAAUGUGCCCUACGUGUUCGUGGGCUCUAAGCAGGCCCUGGGGCGAGCCUGCGGGGUUUCCAGGCCUGUCAUUGCCUGUUCUGUCACCAUCAAAGAAGGCUCUCAGCUGAAGCAGCAGAUCCAGUCCAUUCAGCAGUCCAUUGAAAGGCUCUUCUUUGGCCUCAGCCCUGGUCUCAGCCACACGCCCCCUCACCCCCUGAAGUCGUGUAUCAUAUUGUCAGUGUUAGCAUGUAGUAUUUUCAAUGCCUUUCUAUUAUAAAGUAUUGUACUAAAUCUG